RNAcentral lists this ribosomal RNA (253 nucleotides) under uncultured bacterium. Its description in RNAcentral is "partial 16S ribosomal RNA". It matches the Rfam family "Bacterial small subunit ribosomal RNA", at positions 524 to 776 of the family's 1533-position model. The record is from RNAcentral.
UACGUAGGGUCCGAGCGUUGUCCGGAAUUAUUGGGCGUAAAGGGCUCGUAGGCGGUUCGUCACGUCGGGAGUGAAAACUCGGGGCUUAACCCCGAGCCUGCUUCCGAUACGGGCAGACUAGAGGUAGGCAGGGGAGAGCGGAACUCCUGGUGUAGCGGUGGAAUGCGCAGAUAUCAGGAAGAACACCGGUGGCGAAGGCGGCUCUCUGGGCCUUACCUGACGCUGAGACGCGAAAGCGUGGGGAGCAAACAGG